Long non-coding RNA from Lathyrus oleraceus (garden pea), 736 nucleotides. RefSeq lists it as uncharacterized. The transcript is spliced from 2 exons. The record is from RefSeq and is a predicted model, not a curated record. Lineage: Eukaryota; Viridiplantae; Streptophyta; Magnoliopsida; Fabales; Fabaceae.
AAAUUCAAAAGUAAAAAAAAGGCGGCAGACCAAUUCCCUCCACUAAGCUAUGAUUCUCCUCUGUCGUGUCGGAGGUCGCCUCCGGUGGAGGCGGAACUCUAAUGCCUAAAAACAACACAUCAUCCCCUUCAUCUUUCCAUCCUAAAUUUGAAAAUCUCAUUGAAACAAUCCAAUUCUUCAUAUACAACCUGAAUCGAAGCAUAGAAGCCAAGAACCCUAAAUUUGAGAACUGAAAUUAAAUCACGUUCCCUCUGAGUCAAAGCCCUAGGGGUUAGGGCUUUGACUCCCCUACUCCUACUCUACAUCUAGGUAACAAGUAUGAGGAAAAAUGGUGAAGGCAAGAGAACUCAUCGGCGCGGAGGUCACCGGAGUUUGAGGUGUUGCUGAUAUGAUGUCGGCAAAGCUUGAAUGGUGGUCUAACUUUCCUUUUCUUACAGGAUGUGAUGGAAUGGUAACUACGAUGUUUUAUGAUGCAUUAUUAACUACACUGAUGUUGUUAUUUGGCUGCAGGUACAUGUUAGCAGGGUUGCUGCCCUUGUAAAAUUGAUGUCACUUAUAGUCAAUCAUUGUCCAAACUGUACAUGGUCUUCUAUAGUUAGGAAGUUAGGUUAGGUUCGCAAUAGAUUAGUGAGUAAAAUUGAUUACAUGAGAUGAUAUUGUAUGGUUUCUUGAGGACAGGAUGAUGUCACUUGCAAAAUGAUGCAUUUAUGAGCAUGAGCUGCUAGUUUUUAUUGUA